UCUUCGCCGGCCCCGGCUCAGCUCUGACCGGGCGGCGGCGUUUCCCCUGCCUCCGAUGACCUCCACCACCGUAUUUCCUCAAUCGGCCGUCGCUGGCACAUGCUCGUGCGUCACAACAUAGGAAGAAGAAGAGGACAGGUGACUGCAAUUUCAGAAAAUUCCAUUCGCCUAUCGCCAGUACGGAGGAAGUUCCCAAACUGAACCAAUCAGUUUAUUGAUAUAUACACCUAAUACAUAUGCACAUAUACACAUACAGUUCAUUACAUAGAACAGCGACGAAUCAUCAUUUUAUUUACUGACUGCCUCUCUUCAGCAGCAUAUGUAGUCGGGGAAUUCUCAUCCCAUCCUCAAGUCUCCACUCUCUCAAUCAGCUUGAUGCCAGACGCCUCCAGGAUCUCCAACGCUUCACAGAUGCAAAGACACGGGUCAGAAUGCUGGAUUCAUAGGCAACAUACCUCAUUCAUAAACUUUAGUCGUGUGUACGUGUGAUGCGGUUGAAGGUGCAGUACCAGGGCUCCUAUCGCUGCCGGUACCCCGACGGUCAGGGCCAUGGCGGUGGUGGACCUGCCAUUCUCGGACUUUCCGAACUCCAGCAGCGUCGCUUGGUGCUUCUCGGCGGGUCGCCCGUCGGGGUACUCCACCUCGACUUCAUGGUGGAGCAGUACCAUGUCCUGAAUUAUGAGAGCAAAGAGCAACGGCAGCAAGAUACUUAAAACACUAGCAUACCAGAGAGCAAUGCCCAAAAAUCGUUGAAAGGAGCGCAGUUCUAAAAGAAAAAGGGAAGGAAGAGAAGCACAUACUGAUUGAUGGCAGUCCAGAGUUCCAGUUAGUCGAAGUGGAAGCUGGGCAGACUGGUACGCUAAGGGGACUGGAGUCUGAACUUUAUAACCUACUCAAUGAUUGAGUGGAAAUAUCUAAAGGGAGCUCAAGGACUCGAGGAACAAGGGAAACGCAUGUCCUGCAAGCUAUGGCAAAGGACUAUGAUGGUGACAAUGAGAAAUAUUUGAAACUUACAAAAUAGUCUUUCUCAUCCGAGGAAUAUAUUCGUACAGAGGAGUGAGCUUGCCAGAAUAUGAAAUGCAGGCUCUUCUCAAGUGGGACGGUAGCUCCAAUAAUCCCUUAGUUGAGGCCAAGCUAGUAACAAAUCUAGAUAAUAUGUCUCCAAAAUGCUGGGAGGCCUACAGAGUUUGAUUACAGUAGAGUAGGAGUCAUCUCAUUGCAACAAAUUGAACUUCAACGAGGAUAGCUUUAUUUGUUUUAUAUGAAUCUCUCACCUCUCUAGAAAACUCUGUAGGGAGAAUGUCGACAGCUAAGCAGAUCACACCAUCGCCUUCCAUAUCAUCAUGGCAUA
Lolium rigidum is the source of this 1351-nucleotide long non-coding RNA. RefSeq lists it as uncharacterized. The transcript is spliced from 4 exons. NCBI's taxonomy places the organism in Eukaryota, Viridiplantae, Streptophyta, Magnoliopsida, Poales, Poaceae. The record is from RefSeq and is a predicted model, not a curated record.